Molecule: long non-coding RNA, 389 nt
Filed under: Glycine max (soybean)
Lineage: Eukaryota; Viridiplantae; Streptophyta; Magnoliopsida; Fabales; Fabaceae
Description: long non-coding RNA (GMAX_LNC000406)
Source: RNAcentral
GUUUGUGUUUGUCUAUAUAUGUGUGUGUGUGUGUGUCUGUCUGUCUAUGUGUGUGAGUGUGUUUGUGUAUGUGUGUGUCUGUGGCUCAGUGUGUUUGUGUGUUUGUCUGUCUCUUUAUGUGUGUGUGACUGUGUGUGUGUGUGUGUGUGUAUCUUUAUGUGUGUGUGUGUGUGUUUGUGUUUGUGUCUGCCUGUGUUUGUCUCUAUGUGUGUGUGUUUGUGUAUCUGUGUGUGUCUCAUUGCAGGGUAGCAAAGGAUCAUUAAAUUGUAAACAUCAUCAGCCACAUGAUGAGGGAAGCAGUAUCAAAUCAAUGCUUUACAAGCUUUUUGGUGGGGAGCAAUAAGGUGCCUGUGGAUGUUCUUCAAUACGCUGACGAUACGAUAUUCUUU